Long non-coding RNA from Cynocephalus volans (Philippine flying lemur), 1182 nucleotides. RefSeq lists it as uncharacterized. The transcript has 4 exons. Lineage: Eukaryota; Metazoa; Chordata; Mammalia; Dermoptera; Cynocephalidae. The record is from RefSeq and is a predicted model, not a curated record.
CAAUAGGAAGACGGAUGGGCCUUGGCCCCGCCUCACAACGAGCCGCACUCUCGACGUGGACUUGGGAGGCUCGCGAAUUCCACCGGACACUCCAGUUUUCCCACCUGAAAUGACGGGGUGAAUUAUUAAAGGUGAAAGAGAUGUGGAUUCCUUUAUUCGCUCGACAAACAUUUAGAAGGCAGAGAAGAUGCUUGGGGACAUGGAUGCGGCCACAGCACAAUGACCACCCCUGUGGUGCCCCUCCUGUGAUUCUGCCUCCUGAAUUCACCUUGUAUCAAAUGAGCUCCUGGGUGCCCCACCUGCGCGUGCUCCACAGCCUCGCAUCCACCUACGAGCACGUUGGACCCAGGCAAACUCCUUGAGUGAAACUCCAGCAGCACGUGUCUUUAUUUAAUGGCAGGGACAAACAUGGAUAAAGCAUUCAGUUGAUGUAUUCACAUUAAUACCAUUUCUUAAGGUCUUCAAAACCUGGAAAAGAAAGAAUGGGACAAAAAUCACUGAGUCCUCUGUAGUUCCUGGCUACAGCAGACUGCCCCUGAAACUCACUGGUGGCCCUGCUGAGUGGUGUGGUCGUGCUGUGGUCAUGGCUGUAGUCUGUGUAGCUGGCAUCACUGUGAUGCCUUUCUAAAACUGAGGGAACACUGAAUUUGGCUACAUCGAUCCUGGACAUUCUCAACAUUCUGUGAGUGUUUCACAUUAAGCCGUCCAAGGCCUGAGGCUCAUUAGCCACCAUGGGUUCCCAUGACAGCACAGGGCAAGGGAGCCCUCAGGCCCCAGAGCAGAGUGUGGGAAGAGACCGAAGAGAUGUGGAAGAGUUCCCUCCAACCCUGAUGCAGACCUGGACCCAGGGCCAAAGGGUGGAGGUGCGUAGGAGCCUGAAGCUUUGCCCGCCCUACCAUGAGAAGGUUCAGAUUCCCUCAGCAAGCAUUUAAUGAGUGCCUCCUUUGUGGCAGGCACUGUUCUAAGCAUCGGAGAACAUCAGUGACCAAAAACGAUUCCUGACCUUGGGAAGCUAACAUUCUAGUGGAGAAGACAGGCAAAAGACUCGUGUUCCAUGGAAAUAUUUUACAGCUUGAGCUUCUUGGUGACUACAAGGAUGUAAAAAUAUGUAUUUUUACAUGUGUGAAAAAUCAUGAGCUCCCAUUAAGAUUUGUGCAUUUUAUUGUGAGUUAUACAUUAAUU